AGAGUUAGCGAGGCGGUUGCGGAUUCAGUAUGAAUCUGAGGAAAGUCCGGACUCCCGAAAACCCAAACUUGCUGGGUAAUGCCCAGUGCGCGUGAGCGUGAGGAAAGUGCCACAGAAAAAUACCGCCGGAGAAGAGCGGGAAUCGGGUAGAAGAUGCGAAAGCCUCGUAUGCCCCACUCCCCACUCCGGUAAGGGUGCAAAGGUGCGGUAAGAGCGCACCAGCAGUAUCGAGAGGUACUGGCUCGGUAAACCCCGGUGGGGAGCAAGGUCGGACGAAACAAGGGUUGGGUUUUUUCCUGUUUCGGUAGUUCACUCCACUUUCAAUCAAGGUUGAGUGAGCGAGAACCGCUUGAGGUUGGAGGUAACUCCAAUCCCAGAUAGAUAGCUGCCCUCACCCUGCAUUUUGCAAGGUGAGAACAGAAUCCGGCUUAUGUCUAACUCUUCUC
This 446-nucleotide RNase P RNA is filed under the name Cyanobacteria bacterium FACHB-63. RNAcentral's name for it is "RNase P RNA component class A". It matches the Rfam family "Bacterial RNase P class A". From Rfam's summary of the family: Ribonuclease P (RNase P) is a ubiquitous endoribonuclease, found in archaea, bacteria and eukarya as well as chloroplasts and mitochondria. Its best characterised activity is the generation of mature 5'-ends of tRNAs by cleaving the 5'-leader elements of precursor-tRNAs. The record is from RNAcentral. Lineage: Bacteria; Bacillati; Cyanobacteriota.